RNAcentral lists this long non-coding RNA (401 nucleotides) under Elaeis guineensis (African oil palm). Its description in RNAcentral is "long non-coding RNA (EGUI_LNC018910)". The record is from RNAcentral. Lineage: Eukaryota; Viridiplantae; Streptophyta; Magnoliopsida; Arecales; Arecaceae.
GAUUACCUAUAAGGCAUAUCCUGCGAGCUAAUCAGCUGAUUGUAGAGGAUGACUUUAUGAUUGUGGUGUCCUGACUUCAAGGGUAUGAGAGGGUUUGCUGCUCAUCCCUUCUUUCAGAACAUGGCGAUUUUGUUCACUGGGUAUACUGUCCUGAUUAAUAGACACACUUUUUGAGAAGUGAACGAAUUGGAUGGCAGCGUUUGUAGUGGAGCAUUCAGGAGAUACAGACUCCAAGUUGCCCCACGUUUCCUCAAAGAUUUUUUUUCUAAUCUUUUUAAAUAUAUUUAUAUAAAAAUUAUAUAAAUGAUCUAUUUUUUAUUAAAAAAAUUACGAUGGCGGUAAAUCUUUGGAGUCUGUUCUAUUCUUUUUCUAAUUAUAGCAAAAGAAAAUUCUUGGACCAU